AACUCUGUGUCUGGGCUGUGGGGGACAGAGGAGAGUUAGGAUCUGAACCGCUCAGGGACAAGGUGAACUCUGUGUCUGGGCUGUGGGGGACAGAGGAGAGUUAGGAUCUGAACCGCUCAGGGACAAGGUGAACUCUGUGUCUGGGCUGUGGGGGACAGAGGAGAGUUAGGAUCUGAACCGCUCAGGGACAAGGUGAACUCUGUGUCUGGGCUGUGGGGGACAGAGGAGAGUUAGGAUCUGAACCGCUCAGGGACAAGGUGAACUCUGUGUCUGGGCUGUGGGGGACAGAGGAGAGUUAGGAUCUGAACCGCUCAGGGACAAGGUGAACUCUGUGUCUGGGCUGUGGGGGACAGAGGAGAGUUAGGAUCUGAACCGCUCAGGGAAAAGGUGAACUCUGUGUCUGGGCUGUGGGGGACAGAGGAGAGUUAGGAUCUGAACCGCUCAGGGACAAGGUGAACUCUGUGUCUGG
This is a long non-coding RNA of Oncorhynchus keta (chum salmon), 469 nucleotides long. RefSeq lists it as uncharacterized. The transcript has 3 exons. The record is from RefSeq and is a predicted model, not a curated record. Lineage: Eukaryota; Metazoa; Chordata; Actinopteri; Salmoniformes; Salmonidae.